Long non-coding RNA from Homo sapiens (human), 2223 nucleotides. Ensembl annotates it as long intergenic non-protein coding RNA 343. The record is from Ensembl. NCBI's taxonomy places the organism in Eukaryota, Metazoa, Chordata, Mammalia, Primates, Hominidae.
GGGAAAGAAACCUGGAAAGGUAGGGAGGUAUGGAUAUGGACAAGCUAUGCCAAGGAGCAGGGCUUUGUCAUGGAGAGUGACUAGGUGCUUUUACAUAGGAAAGUCACCUGAUAAUAUUAAAACCUGUGAAAUAUCACUCUGGUGGAAGUGUGAAUGAAUUUGAAAGGGGUGUAACACUGUUCUACUUUGUUUACUCCUCAGUACCCUUGGCUGUGUACAUUUGAGUAAAGAGAGCACUAUAAAAUCAAAAACCAAUGAAAUGGUUUCCAGAACACAGAACUAUUAAGCUUAAGAAAAGGACAGAAGGAACUGAAGAGAGAGGAACUGUUUUGGAGCAUCACACUUCCACCUCAGAAGAAAUAAGGAAGGAAGGAGGAGGGUGUUCCCACGGCUCUUCAACCAGGCCGGCUCUUCAGCCUACAUCCCCAUCUCAUCAAGUAAAAGGGAUUUUUCAACUGGACCAACCAGAUGGUUUAACAGUGCACUCCCACACCAUUCAACUACGCAAGGGAGAUACACUUAACAUAUGCAGUCGUAUAACACCUACUAACAUUUUCAAACAUUAAACCUUUAAAAAAGAGUUCUAAAGAAAUAGAAGCUUGAAGUAUCAUCUCUCAAGUAUAUAGACACUACUUCAUGGUGUGGUAAUAUAUGCAUAUAGAAGCUAGUAAACACCUCCAGGAGAUGCAAAAGGAAUUAGAACUGCCACAAGGUGCAAGCAAAACCUUGAGGUAAUCAAUCUGCAUCCCAUUUUGGAUGAGAAUAUUUGCAACUUUGAAGGUUAUUUUAAGGACAGCAGCAGAAGAAUUAUGGCAGGUAUCUGAAAUUCAUUUCUGUGCUUUGCCGAGGACCCAUGGGAUGCCAUUUGCAGAUGAGAAAACUAAAGAAUAGCUUUAUCUUCCAGCUCUUCACGGAAAAAAAAAUGGCAACAAUAAAAUCAGCAACUCCUGCCAAAUAAAUGGGCAUAAAAAAGAAAUCAUAGACUGCUGGCAAUGGUGGGGAAAAAGUUAUAAAAAUUGUCUCUGCACCAUCUUCCUUUUGUCCUCUAAAAUAUUCACAUUAGCAAAAGUAUAUAACAGCUGAUGAAGAAAUACUGAUAAUUUGUCUUUCUUCUUUAAAAUAUGAAGACUUCGAAGUUAUUUAUCCAAACCAACCUGAUCAUUUCUUAAGAGUGAAUAUACCUUGGAAGACGUGUCCUGCCUUUAGUAGCGUCACAAUGGAUUACAUCCUCUAUAAAGCAGUCUGGGAUAUACCCGGCUUUUAAAAUUGAAAACCAUAGCCUAGAAUUCUGAUUGAAUAUGCAUAACAAGAUGGGAGCAUAAGAAGAAAAUUUUUAUUGAUCUUUAAAAUAUAAACCAAAUGACUCUCACUACUGAUUUUAGACUUGUGAAUUAAAACAGGGGUCCAUGAACUAUGCGUAGAGGGUCAAAUCUGGCCCACUGCCUGGUUAUAUAAAUAAAGUGUUGUUGAAACACAGCCACACCAUUGCAGCUAUGUAACUAGGGGGAUAUCAGCUCUACCCCUAUGUCUGCGUUCUGUUUUUCCUCUUCUAAUCCUUCACCCAUCUGAGCUAAAGUCUAGACCUAAGGAGGCUACUAAUUCAGGGAUCGAGUAAUCUGCCAAGCAAGAGUUUAUUCAAGCACAGUUUGAAAUAAAGGUUUCAAAUGCAUAGCCUGUCGAUACUUUGGAAGGAUUCUCAUCAUAACGAGAUAUGGGAGGACACCUGAGACGGCAGGCCAGAAGUCACUCAGUAGGAGAAACAUCCGUUAGAAGUAAUAAUGUGGGAUUGCUGAAGUAAAGACUAUAGGAAGAAAAAAGUGUCUGUGUGUAGGAAACGGAAAGGGAGAGAAAAAUACACUGAGAUGGUAAAGUAAGGAAGUGGAAGAUCAGCAGAAUGUGCAGAUGCCAAGCCAUCCAAGAAAAUCAUCUCUUGUGAUUGUUGCGAAGUCAACUAGCUAAUGUGACUCACUGCUAGGCUGUUGGAUCUGAGACUUAUGUGGGAUAAUUUAGAAACUUGCUAGUGUCUUAAGAUCAAUUACUCACCAAUGAGAGUGGCAUUGAACUGUGAAUGUUCCUCCUAGAUUUUCCAUGAAGACUAAUGGUUUUGUCUUGUCUUGAAUUUGUUUUAAUUACAAUUUGUAUACAUCCUGUUCCACCCUGAAAUUUUUAUUUUCCAAAUGGUUUUUCAUUUAAAGAGACUAAAUAAAGGUUCUGACUGAGUUG